GUCCACGCUGUAAACGAUGAGAACUAGCCGUUGGGGCUCAUAGUGGCUUUGGUGGCGCAGCUAACGCGAUAAGUUCUCCGCCUGGGGAGUACGGCCGCAAAGGUUAAAACUCAAAUGAAUUGACGGGGGCCCGCACAAGCGGUGGAGCAUGUUGUUUAAUUCGACGCAACGCGAAGAACCUUACCCACCUUUGACAUGCCUGGAACUGCCCAGAGAUGGGCGGGUGCCUUCGGGAACCAGGACACAGGUGCUGCAUGGCUGUCGU
RNAcentral lists this ribosomal RNA (265 nucleotides) under uncultured bacterium. RNAcentral describes it as "partial 16S ribosomal RNA". It matches the Rfam family "Bacterial small subunit ribosomal RNA", at positions 793 to 1055 of the family's 1533-position model. The record is from RNAcentral.